UAGGGAAUCUUCGGCAAUGGACGGAAGUCUGACCGAGCAACGCCGCGUGAGUGAAGAAGGUUUUCGGAUCGUAAAGCUCUUUUGUUAGAGAAGAACGUUGGUAGGAGUGGAAAAUCUACCAAGUGACGGUAACUAACCAGAAAGGGACGGCUAACUACGUGCCAGCAGCCGCGGUAAUACGUAGGUCCCGAGCGUUGUCCGGAUUUAUUGGGCGUAAAGCGAGCGCAGGCGGUUCUUUAAGUCUGAAGUUAAAGGCAGUGGCUUAACCAUUGUACGCUUUGGAAACUGGAGGACUUGAGUGCAGAAGGGGAGAGUGGAAUUCCAUGUGUAGCGGUGAAAUGCGUAGAUAUAUGGAGGAACACCGGUGGCGAAAGCGGCUCUCUGGUCUGUAACUGACGCUGAGGCUGGAAAGCGUGGGGAGCAAACAGG
Molecule: ribosomal RNA, 429 nt
Filed under: Bacillota bacterium
Lineage: Bacteria; Bacillati; Bacillota
Description: Firmicutes bacterium partial 16S ribosomal RNA
Rfam family: Bacterial small subunit ribosomal RNA
Source: RNAcentral